Molecule: ribosomal RNA, 497 nt
Filed under: uncultured bacterium
Lineage: Bacteria
Description: partial 16S ribosomal RNA
Rfam family: Bacterial small subunit ribosomal RNA
Source: RNAcentral
GAUGAACGCUGGCGGCGUGCCUAAUACAUGCAAGUCGAGCGAACAGACGAGGAGCUUGCUCCUCUUACGUUAUCGGCGGACGGGUGAGUAACACGUGUAUAACCUCCCUAUAAGACUGUGAUAACUUCGGGAAACCGGAGCUCAUACCGGAUAAUAUAUUUAACCUCAUGUUUCAAUAUUGAAAGACGGUUUUGCUUUCACUUCUAGAUGGUUCCGCGCCGCAUUAGCUAGUUGGUAAGGUAACGGCUUACCAAGGCAACGAUGCGUAGCCGACCUGAGAGGGUGAACGGCCACACUGGAACUGAGACACGGUCCAGACUCCUACGGGAGGCAGCAGUAGGGAAUCUUCCGCAAUGGGCGAAAGCCUGACGGAGCAACGCCGCGUGAGUGAUGAAGGUCUUCGGAUCGUAAAACUCUGUUAUUAGGGAAGAACAAAUGUGUAAGUAACUAUGCACGGAUUGACGGUACCUAAGCAGAAAGCCACGGCUAACUACGUG